RNAcentral lists this ribosomal RNA (466 nucleotides) under uncultured bacterium. RNAcentral's name for it is "partial 16S ribosomal RNA". It matches the Rfam family "Bacterial small subunit ribosomal RNA", at positions 28 to 507 of the family's 1533-position model. The record is from RNAcentral.
GACGAACGCUGGCGGCGCGCCUAACACAUGCAAGUCGAACGAGCGAGCGAGAGCUUGCUUUCUCGAGCGAGUGGCGAACGGGUGAGUAACGCGUGAGGAACCUGCCUCAAAGAGGGGGACAACAGUUGGAAACGACUGCUAAUACCGCAUAAGCCCACGACCCGGCAUCGGGUAGAGGGAAAAGGAGCAAUCCGCUUUGAGAUGGCCUCGCGUCCGAUUAGCUAGUUGGUGAGGUAACGGCCCACCAAGGCGACGAUCGGUAGCCGGACUGAGAGGUUGAACGGCCACAUUGGGACUGAGACACGGCCCAGACUCCUACGGGAGGCAGCAGUGGGGAAUAUUGCACAAUGGGGGAAACCCUGAUGCAGCGACGCCGCGUGGAGGAAGAAGGUCUGCGGAUUGUAAACUCCUGUUGUUGAGGAAGAUAAUGACGGUACUCAACAAGGAAGUGACGGCUAACUACGUG